ACGGGUGAGUAACACGUAGGUAACCUGCCUAUGAGACUGGGAUAACUAUCGGAAACGAUAGCUAAGACCGGAUAACUGGUUUUCUCGCAUGAGAGAAUCAUGAAACACGGAGCAAUCUGUGGCUUAUAGGUGGGCCUGCGGCGCAUUAGCUAGUUGGUAGGGUAAUGGCCUACCAAGGCGACGAUGCGUAGCCGACCUGAGAGGGUGACCGGCCACACUGGGACUGAGACACGGCCCAGACUCCUACGGGAGGCAGCAGUAGGGAAUCUUCCGCAAUGGACGCAAGUCUGACGGAGCAACGCCGCGUGAGUGAUGAAGGUUUUCGGAUCGUAAAGCUCUGUUGCCCUAGACGAACAGCAUGAGGAGUAACUGCCUUGUGUGUGACGGUAUAGGAGAAGAAAGCCCCGGCUAACUACGUGCCAGCAGCCGCGGUAAUACGUAGGGGGCAAGCGUUGUCCGGAAUUAUUGGGCGUAAAGCGCGCGCAGGCGGUUAAUUAAGUUGGGUGUUUAAGCCCGGGGCUCAACCCCGGUUCGCAUCCAAAACUGGUUGACUUGAGUGUAGGAGAGGAAAGUGGAAUUCCACGUGUAGCG
RNAcentral lists this ribosomal RNA (591 nucleotides) under uncultured bacterium. RNAcentral describes it as "bacterial SSU rRNA". It matches the Rfam family "Bacterial small subunit ribosomal RNA", at positions 102 to 680 of the family's 1533-position model. The record is from RNAcentral.